GGUUUAGGUCAGAGAUUGAUUUAUUUUAGUACGAAAUUAUUAGUUUUAUAUGUGGCUAUACAUAUAUAAGUUCAUUAUUUACAGUCUAUUUGAAUAUCCGAAGAUAAGGUCUAUACGUGGGAUGCACUUUCUUUUGAGGAUUAAUAUGGAUCAUUCUAUCGGUUUGGAAUACCUCUUGAUUAAUAAAAAAAUAUUUAAUUAUUUUUCUUUUCUUAAAAAAAAUUAUUUUCUUCUGAACCGAACAGUCAAUGACAAUUAUUUUAAAUUCAAUUUCAUUUUUACUUGUUUUAUAUAACUCACUUAAUUAAACUGUUAUUAUUGAAAAAAUUAAUUUACAGAGUUAAAUUAAGAUCAACCAACUCGAUCGCUAGAGUCAAUUGUGUUGCAGGAUUUUUUAAGUCAAAAGUCUCU
This 411-nucleotide long non-coding RNA is filed under the name Brassica napus (rape). RNAcentral describes it as "long non-coding RNA (BNAP_LNC008116)". Lineage: Eukaryota; Viridiplantae; Streptophyta; Magnoliopsida; Brassicales; Brassicaceae. The record is from RNAcentral.